AUCCAUCUGACGAGUCCGCUAUAGAACGAAACGCGUGUCCUGGAU
RNAcentral lists this non-coding RNA (45 nucleotides) under Schistosoma mansoni. The record is from RNAcentral. Lineage: Eukaryota; Metazoa; Platyhelminthes; Trematoda; Strigeidida; Schistosomatidae.